RNAcentral lists this ribosomal RNA (443 nucleotides) under uncultured bacterium. RNAcentral's name for it is "partial 16S ribosomal RNA". It matches the Rfam family "Bacterial small subunit ribosomal RNA", at positions 338 to 795 of the family's 1533-position model. The record is from RNAcentral.
CCUACGGGAGGCAGCAGUGGGGAAUAUUGGGCAAUGGGCGCAAGCCUGACCCAGCAACGCCGCGUGAAGGAAGAAGGCCCACGGGUUGUAAACUUCUUUUGUCCGGUACGAAACACAUGACGGUCCCUGACGAAUAAGCCACGGCUAACUACGUGCCAGCAGCAGCGGUAAUACGUAGGUGGCAAGCGUUAUCCGGCUUUACUGGGUGUAAAGGGCGUGUAGGCGGGAGAGCAAGUCAGAUGUGAAAUUCCAGGGCUCAACCCUGGAACUGCAUUUGUAACUGUUUUUCGUGAGUGAUGGAGAGGCAGGCGGAAUUCCGUGUGUAGCGGUGAAAUGCGUAGAUAUACGGAGGAACACCAGUGGCGAAGGCGGCCUGCUGGACAUUAACUGACGCUGAGGCGCGAAAGCGUGGGGAGCAAACAGGAUUAGAUACCCGUGUAGUC